Long non-coding RNA from Bos taurus (domestic cattle), 572 nucleotides. Lineage: Eukaryota; Metazoa; Chordata; Mammalia; Artiodactyla; Bovidae. The record is from Ensembl.
CUGGGAGACCAACCUUUGGCGCAACUGCUCGGGCCCAGCCAGUUACCAGGGCCAGCAUCGCCUCCAGGUCCCCCAGUGUCUGUGCGGAGAGGGUCUGUCAGCAGCUCAAAUGCCUUUCACACUGAUGGAAACCUGGCCCCUUAGCUGGACAGAGUCCAGUGUCCAGGAGUGACUGGGCUGGCAAGGGGCUCCUCCAAAGAUAAAAUUGUUUCCCAACUGCUUCCUGUGGGAGUCUUGGAAGGAGUCCUUGGUUUGAGGUGGGGAAGAUGGAACCAGGAAGUGAGAUCGGGCAAUCACGGAAGGCCCCUCAGUCAGGUGAUGGAGCUCGACUCUGGGAGAAAACGAGGAUCUACGUGCCCUCACACCUCAGAGAUGGAUUUUCCUGCUCUCUUCUAAAUAAAAUAGAGCUGUAACACUGAUAUGUCUAAGAGCUAUAACAUGGUCCUUUCGAGACCUGAGAGCUGUGACACGAUGAGGGGGCUUUAAUGUCCGUCACUCCGAAUCUUUGUUGUGACCAAAGAACCAAGGAACAUACAUUCGCGUGACAGUACAUCAUUUCCAUAGAUACUGGG